GGGCGCUUAGCUCAGUUGGCAGAGCAGCUGACUCUUAAUCAGCGGGUCGUAGGUUCGAGCCCUACAGCGCCCACCA
This 76-nucleotide transfer RNA is filed under the name Rhodospirillaceae bacterium. RNAcentral's name for it is "tRNA-Lys". It matches the Rfam family "tRNA". Rfam says of the family: Transfer RNA (tRNA) molecules are approximately 80 nucleotides in length. RNAcentral also lists the same sequence under 1 other name. The record is from RNAcentral. Lineage: Bacteria; Pseudomonadati; Pseudomonadota; Alphaproteobacteria; Rhodospirillales; Rhodospirillaceae.